Molecule: non-coding RNA, 185 nt
Filed under: Caloranaerobacter azorensis
Lineage: Bacteria; Bacillati; Bacillota; Tissierellia; Tissierellales; Thermohalobacteraceae
Source: RNAcentral
UUAAUAUUGAAGUUUUAAGGUGCUCCCUUAAAGGGAGUUAAAAGGGAAGUUCGGUGAAAAUCCGACGCAGCCCCCGCUACUGUGAGCGAAGACGAAACCUUAUUAUGCCACUUGGUAAAACCAGGGAAGGCAAGGUAGUAGGAUGAAGCGCGAGCCAGGAAACCUGCCUUAAAACAUUAGCAACA